GUUUUUUAUCUGCUUUUGGUU
This 21-nucleotide small RNA is filed under the name Arabidopsis thaliana (thale cress). RNAcentral describes it as "ATSL181120". The record is from RNAcentral. Lineage: Eukaryota; Viridiplantae; Streptophyta; Magnoliopsida; Brassicales; Brassicaceae.